GUUCCACAGGAUUGCAGGUGAAUGAUGUAGAGAUCUGUUAAAUUCAUUUUAAAUCAUAUUCUGUUAAUGACAUUGUGCUGCAGCCUCAGACUGGGAUCAGUCAUUUUAAUUUCUUUUAGGAUUUCCCAGUGUGAUUGGCUGCAUAGAUGCACACACAUCCCCAUCACAGCUCCCUCACAUCAUGAACAGGAAGUCCAUUCACAGCAUAAAUGUGCAGAUCAGAUGUGAUGCUGCAUACAUCAUUUCUAAUGUGGAGGCCACGUGGUCUGGGUCUGUUCAUGACUCCAGGAUUUAUGGAGAGUCUAACCUGAGCAACAGACUGCAGCGUGGUCAGCAGCAUAAAGAUUUUCACAAUAGAAUUCUCUUGUCUCCCUCCUUUAAUAUGCUCUGAUGUAUCCACUAUACAUUACAGGAGAGUUUGAUGGCCUUCUGCUGGGUGACAGGGGUUACCAUGACAACCCAGGCUGAUGACCUCAUACCCUGACCCUGAACCAGGCCCCCAACAGAACUUCAACCGGGCUCACUGCAGGACCAGAGCCCGGGUGGAGAUGACCAUAGGCCUGCUGAAAGCCCGUUUCCAGAGCCUACGUCUCCUCAGGGUGACCCCUGAGAGGGCCUGUGAUAUUACUGUGGCAUGUGUUGUUCUUCAUAAUAUUACCACUAUUAGAGGAGAGCAACACCCUGCCCUACAAACUGAAGACCCAGAUGAUGAGCCCAUCCACCUGCAGCUAUCCAGGACAGCAGAGCAGUCAGAGACACCGUAUGCAAUAAUCACUUUAGAGUUUAAGUCUCCAUCAUCACCACCACAGCAAAUAAAGACAUGAUACACAUUU
Long non-coding RNA from Acanthochromis polyacanthus (spiny chromis), 833 nucleotides. RefSeq lists it as uncharacterized. The transcript has 2 exons. The record is from RefSeq and is a predicted model, not a curated record. NCBI's taxonomy places the organism in Eukaryota, Metazoa, Chordata, Actinopteri, Pomacentridae.